UACAUGCGGAGAGACCGAGAUGUGCAGUGGACGAUUAAAGAGGACGUUGACAUCCAUAGAGGUGAGUCACACACAUUGACGGAAGCGAUGGCCGUUUUGUGUUGUCUGUGUCAUGUUUGCACUUUGUUCGGGUUCUUUACAUGUGUAACUCUUUGCUUUGACACACUCUGUCCUUGAGGUGUUGGCUGUUUUCCAUCUGGGUCAUGUUUGGACUUUAUCCUGGUCACUUGUCUGCGUCAUUCAUGGGUUUGACAUAAAUUGAAGACAUGGGACUUUGAUUGUUUGCUGAUGUCGCCAUAUGUUUUGUUUCUUUUACAUGCCGAGAGACGAGAUCUGCAGUGGACGAUUAAAGACGACGUAGACAUCCAUAGAGGUGAAAUUCCAUUAAGAAGAAGAAGAAGAAGAAGAAGAAGAAGAAGAAGAAGAAGAAGAAGAAGAAGAAGAAGAAGAAGAAGAA
This is a long non-coding RNA of Amphiprion ocellaris (clown anemonefish), 457 nucleotides long. The record is from Ensembl. Lineage: Eukaryota; Metazoa; Chordata; Actinopteri; Pomacentridae.